AGUCACUUUCCCUUCGGGGCAUUGGAGACAGGUGGUGCAUGGUUGUCGUCAGCUCGUGUCGUGAGAUGUUGGGUUAAGUCCCGCAACGAGCGCAACCCCUAUUUCCAGUAGCCAGCAAGAAAGAUGGGAACUCUGGAGAGACUGCCCGGGAUAACUGGGAGGAAGGCGGGGAUGACGUCAAAUCAUCAUGCCCCUUAUGAUCAGGGCUACACACGUGCUACAAUGGCGUAAACAAAGGGAAGCGAAGUGGUGACACGAAGCAAAUCCGAAAAAUAACGUCUCAGUUCGGAUUGUAGUCUGCAACUCGACUACAUGAAGCUGGAAUCGCUAGUAAUCGCGAAUCAGAAUGUCGCGGUGAAUACGUUCCCGGGUCUUGUACACACCGCCCGUCACACCAUGGGAGUCGGAAAUGCCCGAAGUCAGUGACCCAACCGAGAGGAGGGAGCUGCCGAAGGUGGAGCCGGUAACUGGGGUGAAGUCGUAACAAGGUAGCCGUAUCGGAAGGUGCGG
RNAcentral lists this ribosomal RNA (510 nucleotides) under uncultured bacterium. Its description in RNAcentral is "bacterial SSU rRNA". It matches the Rfam family "Bacterial small subunit ribosomal RNA", at positions 1007 to 1517 of the family's 1533-position model. The record is from RNAcentral.